Molecule: unclassified non-coding RNA, 216 nt
Filed under: Hevea brasiliensis (rubber tree)
Lineage: Eukaryota; Viridiplantae; Streptophyta; Magnoliopsida; Malpighiales; Euphorbiaceae
Source: RNAcentral
CUCCAUCAUAAUUUAUAUUACAAAUUACAGAGAGUCUACUACAUCAUUCGCAAAUACCUACCCUUUCUGAACUCCCUCUUCCUCUUUCUCUCAAUCACCCACGAUGAACGAUGCAGAUGUCUCCAAACAGAUCCAGCAGAUGGUCAGAUUCAUCCGUCAGGAAGCUGAAGAGAAGGCCAACGAGAUCUCAGUUUCUGCUGAAGAAGAAUUCAAUAU